CGUAAUUGAUAAGGACGUAGGAUAAUAGAAUUUCUGCAAGUUCAGCCUUUUACAAACAAUUUAAUUGAAAGUUAUUUAUGCGAGAGGCUAUCAAAAAACUGCACUGGUUACAAAAUGGGGUUGAUUACGUCUUGUUGUAGACCUUCGGCCUCCGAUGUGAUGACUCCUGAUGCAGAGACCAGACGGCGGCAACUGGUAGAAGCAGCUGAGAAGAGGCGGUUGGAAGAAGAGGCUCGUGGAGUAAAAGAUCCCACCAAAGUCAAGCGCAUGAUGGCGCGCAGUGAAGAAAUGGAGAAACGGGAGAAACAACUGGAGAAGGAAGGCGGGGCUGCACUCAGGUGGACAUCAAACUGAAGUGCUGGCCUGCUUGGAAAACCCCAAAUAAUCAUGGGUGAGACAUGAGAUAAACGCAAGUCACAUGCAUCGACAAAAUGCAAUAUUUUCAUAUCACACGGUCACUUAUCAAGUAACAACUUAGGCUUUGUUUCAUAGUAAUGACUUGGCAGCAAGUGACAAUAAUAUAGAGCUAUAUAAUUACAAACCUUUUUACUUAAAAUUUUGAUAAUUAAACUGCCAAUCGGCUACUUACUUAGUUCUCGAAUAGUAUAAGUAUAAUAACCACUUACACCAUUCUUAGUUCUCGAAUGGUAUAAUAUAAUAACCACUUAUACCAUUCGAGAACUAAGAAUGGGAACUAUUUCCUAAUCUGCUUUUCUUAUCGAUAAUAGUUCGCGCAUGUUCGAAUACUAAGCCUAGGUCCUUUAAUGUGAAGCAAUAACAGGUUACAUGCUGAUUGCCUAUAAUGCAUGUAAACAACUGCGGAGUGGUCACAACAUUUUAUAAAGAAUAAACCAAAUUGUGCUCUUAUACUACUUAGAUGUAAUGUGCGUUGUUUAAGGUCACUUUGGCAAGUAAUAACGACAUUAAUAAUAGUGAUUUGUAUCAUUUUUACAUAUGGUGAUUGAGUCAUAUGGCUAGAUAAAAUUGCCAAGUCAAGACUGAGGUCUAAUAAAAUAUAAAUCAACAAUAGAUACUGUGAGACUGUUUUGUAACAUUUAGAUUUUUUUCUACUAUCUGUAUAUAUUUUGACAGUUGCGCUAAACGAAUUCAACUUUGCGCCCGUUCCUCUUUGACAAACCCUACCCAACCCUAAAACUAAGUUUUCGUGGUGUAUCACACACCUUACACCGUGCAAAGAAUAAUAAUUAACCCUUUCACGGACAGAGACCAUGGGUCAUUGACGGUUCAUAAUAGGUAAUAUGACACCUUGGAAUCGGAACGUCAUUAGACGUUCUGUCCUUGAAAAUGUUAAUAAUUUUGACUCUUAUUUAUAUCCUAUGCACGUCUUCUUUUCGUCUUCACAACGCCACUGGCGUAUUUCUUCCUUACUGGAGCCUUAUUUUUGAAUCGCUUGCUUUCAUCUCACGUUCGUAUGAUACAGGUAUACAUUUAAGCACGCUAGUUGAAGGCGAGCGAUUCAAAUUAAGGCCCCCGGUGUUCUUGUAAACUUAACAACACCAUCUAUCGUGUUUGGGUAACGUCGGUUGAAGCGUUCCUCAAUCUCUAAUAAUUUGUUGCAGAAUAUCAAUAAAAUUUGUUAAAGGGCUUCCCAUACCCAGACGUGAGAAGAACUACGCGUUAUUAUGAUUCGUUGCAACCCCAUCCCACCAGAUGGUUGUCAAUCCCAUCUAUCACUGACUCUGAAACACUACUUAGUGUUUGAUUGUUUAUAAUAGGUAAUAUGACACCUUGGAAUCAUAACGUCUUUAGACGUUCUGUCCUUGAAAGUGUUAAUCAUUUUCACUCUUAUUUCUAUUCUAUCUGUCAUGUAUGUCUUUAUCACUGUCUGUCAUAAUCGUUUGCAACUUAGCUGAGGCUCCUGGGUAAGUGGACGCGUACCUUUAUUCAACGUCUGGGUAAGAGGAGUGACAAAAUUAUAAAGAAUAUUUAGUACAUUUGUUAUCUUAAUUUUAAGUCGCAUAAAAUAAUUGUCAUUUAAUACUCUGGAUGGAUUUGAGAUAGCAUGGCAUUUGUCUUUUUUGAUAAUUUCAAGCACGUUACACGUUAAUUGGAUAUUUAUUUCGGGUUAUUGUAUACCAAUAGCAGCGGGGAGGCAAGCACUUUCUGAAAAUAUUGAAUAAUAACUUUAUUAACAUUGUCAUUAAGUACUCUGUUCUCUCUACCAAAUAUCACGUCGAGACACCUUGAGCUGGCGCAAGCUACUUGUCUUUGUCGGAUAAUAUUGCAUUUCAUCAGAAUGGUAAUAAAGUUAUUUUGUUCAGUGCCAACAGUAAGUGAUCGCCUCUUCGAUGCUCUUGGUCUGCGCAGACCCUUAUAUUAUUUUAAACCGAUUGAAUACCAAUUUAUAUUUGCAUGCGUAUGUCAACCAACACCUUGGCAUAUACAUGAUGGUAUAUAUAUUUUUAAUAAUAAUUCCAUAUCAUAUUAUGUAAUAAAUAACAAGUCAUCGAUUUAAAAGACUGUCCGACUUAAUGUUAAUUAUUUAAAAUUUAUUUUACUAACAGAACAGUGGGUAUUUAUAUACUAAAGCGGGCUUAGGACCCUCGCUGGCUUAGCCAAGUUGCGUGUGUGUAUAUGUAUACAGGGUGUUACUGACACCGUACAGAAAAUAAAAUGUUAGUAUUAACCAGUAAGUAGUAACCGGGACCAGCGGCUUAGCGUGCCUUCCGAAGAACAGAUAAUCUUACUUACUAGGAGGUAUUAUCGUAACUAAACCAUGGUCCAGAAAGUAAUUUUUGUGAUAUGUCCCCACCGGGAUUCUAACCCGGGACCUUCGGAUCGUGAGCCCAACGCUCAUCCACUGGACCACGGUGGUUGAUGAUUCGCACGAGUUUAAACGUUAGCGACUGUAGAAAAAGAAACAUUUGCAACUUGGCUAGGCGCUCUGUAGCUUCACCGAAAUUACUUUAUAAAUGAUGUACAGCUAAAACAUCUUCAAAAUAAAUAAGUAACAGUCUCAUUGGAUCAUUAUUCACAAAAAUAAACACUAACAAAUUGUUGUAAGCUAUGUAAAAAAAUAUUCAGAAAUAAACAAUUUUUAUGAGGUAUUUACGAGUAUAAAUAUAUAUGUUUUAACCAAAUAUAUUGCCUUGAAAGCUGUAUAAGGGAACACACUACCUUAAUUAAGUACUGUUAAAGGGAAUAAUUACUUUAGAAACUUUCCAGGCAACGUUCCCCGAAAAAAUAGAUGGCGCUGUACAGAGUUCGCUUCUUAUAAUCUUCUAAUUUCAUGAAUAACAGACUUAUGCAUCUUUUAUCUUUGUUUUUGGAUAUAAGUGAUGACCCUUGUUACACCCAAGCACAACACAUCUUCCACCCAUUAUUAUUCUUAGGGUUGCCAUCCGUCCGGGUUUCCCCGGAUUUGUCCUAGUUUAGAGGGCAUCCGGGGAACGUCCGGGGAAGGUUUCAUUUGUAAACCGGGUUUUAAAAAAUUAAUAAAUAAAAAUAAAGUAUAUUUAUAUGUUUUUGUUUAAUAUUUUAAUAAUGUUUUGUUUUAUUAUUUCUAAAAUUAAAAAGCUAAAUUAUAUAAACAAUUUGUAACAAAUUGUAAUAUGAUUCUGUUUUGUUAAAAUAAUGAAUGAAUAAAAAAAUGUUUUUUAUUACAUUGAAUAUGUUUAAAAGAUCUUGUUGACAUGUCCGGUUUUCGGACUCUAAAAUCCGGGGUUUCACGCGUGUUGUCCUGUUUUCCAAAUUUUAGAGAUGGCAACCCUAAUUAUUCUGAUCACAAUAAAGAGAAGCUGUAGGUAGCAACAUAAUUCUAUAUCAUAUCUGAUCCAAAUAUAAAGCAACAAUUAUUUUUAUAUUCAAAUUGAAAUUGAAAUUCAAAAAUAUAUUUAUUCAGUAGGUAACAUAGUUACACUUUUAAUCGUAUUUUUUUACAUAAUGAACGUCUUAUCAGCCUUAAAACUACUGCAGUUUCUCACAACCUGUAUAGCCGGGGAAAAGAAGCUGCAAGAAAAACAUGCCUCUGCCUAUAAUAUGUACCCGCGCAAAGAGAAAAUAGGUAAUUAUUAGGUUAAAUCUGUACAACGUUGUUGUUUCACCAAUCUAUGUUGUUUUUAAGGAACGUGGCCUAGGAAGUCCUUCAUUUCCCCUUAAUAACAUUAUAUCUUAGAUAAGGCUGCCUGUUCACCGGCAGCAGAGCGGAGAAACAGGAGAAUAUUAACAGAUAGGAUUGCGUAAACUAGUUCGCAACUCGAAUUUAACAGAUCAAUUAUUUUCUAAGUUGGUUUAAAAUGGAUCAUGGAACAAGCACUUAUUUUCUUCCUACGAAGGUCCUAAUAUUUUUUGAUGCAUAGAUUACGCGACUCUAUAUAAUUAUGCUCCGUAGAGCUUAAGUUCAUAUACUAGCGGAGCUUAGGCCUCUGCGAGCAAUCGAGGUUGAAGGGCAGGUCGCACUUCUCUUGAUCAGCACGAAGUAUGGAUUAAUUUAUCUCCGUUCCGUUGCUUCGCUCCGCUUCAAACAGGUAGCCUUAAGGUCUUCCCACAUAGGGUAGUUUACUAAUCUCAGCUUCGAGACUGCCCUCAAGAUCAUGUCAUUGUGACAGUUCUUAUAUAAAACAGGGACUUGAGCAUGAUCUUGAGGGCAGUCUCAGCUGAGAUUAGUUUAUUAAUAUCAUCCACAAAGGGGGUUUGUUGAUUUAUCCAGCAUAAGUUGGUCGGAUCUGCGCGGCUUCUAGAGUACGCCCGUAUUGUAUGAUUAAGUAAAUAAAUAAUACUAUAAAAUAUCACGGUUGCACUGAAUUUGGCACUGAAUAGGUAGGUAAGUGAUUUUUGUAUUUGUAAACGUAUUAUAAUUAUAAAUAUAUGUUUUCCAAGGAAUGUGA
Molecule: unclassified non-coding RNA, 4847 nt
Filed under: Pectinophora gossypiella (pink bollworm)
Lineage: Eukaryota; Metazoa; Arthropoda; Insecta; Lepidoptera; Gelechiidae
Description: uncharacterized LOC126380402
Source: RNAcentral